This 231-nucleotide ribosomal RNA is filed under the name uncultured bacterium. RNAcentral describes it as "partial 16S ribosomal RNA". It matches the Rfam family "Bacterial small subunit ribosomal RNA", at positions 546 to 776 of the family's 1533-position model. The record is from RNAcentral.
CGGAAUUACUGGGCGUAAAGGGCUCGUAGGCGGCCAACUAAGUCAGACGUGAAAUCCCUCGGCUUAACCGGGGAACUGCGUCUGAUACUGGAUGGCUUGAGUUUGGGAGAGGGAUGCGGAAUUCCAGGUGUAGCGGUGAAAUGCGUAGAUAUCUGGAGGAACACCGGUGGCGAAGGCGGCAUCCUGGACCAUAACUGACACUGAAAAGCGAAAGCCAGGGGAGCAAACGGG